AUUUAUUCAAAUCCAGUAUUGCCAAGAGGCAUCAUUUGUGGUAUGCCUUUGAUCCUGUUCAUUGCCAUUUAUAUUGUGUAGAAGCUUCUACACAGAUUUGCAGUUGGAAAAUUGAUGUGCAUACUUAUCCUGAUUUCAUAUUGAUAUUAUGAGCUUUUCUGGAUAAAGGUAAGAACUUUAACUGCAUUAUUCUCUCACUUUCCAAAUGAGGAUAAUACACAAGAAUUUUUCUAUCUCUACCAAGUUCUAUGGAGUUAGAAGUUAGGGUAUAGUGUAUCAUUGUACUUUUUAGGGGUGAAAGUAUUUGAAUCUAUAUAGAAUUUGAGGUAUAAUCCAUUGUAUCUCUUCUUGGUAUUUGGAUUAUCAUAGAUUUCAGCUUUCCAAGCCCCUGGCAGACAGAGGUGGAGGGACAAUAUCACUCCUUACCUUUCUCAACUGCAACUUUUCCCUAUUUCAAGUGGCAAAACAUGUUGGCCUUCACUUAUUCCUCUUUUUGUUGUUUAACAAAUGGAAAGGUCUGUCAAUAUGGUCUCUGCAAAAUAUAUUCCUUGUUGGGUGAAAAGAUUGCUUAUUUUCUGGUCUUUUAUAAUUUUUGAGGGGGGAAUAUUUGAAGAAGUUGAGUGAAAGACUGCUAUGUAGAUGAUGUUUUAAACCCAUGUACUCCAUUUUCAACUUCUAAGCAUUUAGGAUUUGUAUUUAUGUAUAAUUGACAACCUGCAACUGUAUACAUUUAAAGUGUAUACUUUGUUAAAUAUAAAUAUAUAUGUCUGAUCUGUGCUACCAUGAUCACAAUCAAGACAAAGUAUUUAUCAGCCCAAAGGUUUCCUCAUUCUGCUCUGUAAAUCCCUUCCUGCAACUCCUCUAUGUCCGUCACCCCUGUCUCAGGCAACCAUUGAUCUACAUUCUAA
RNAcentral lists this long non-coding RNA (908 nucleotides) under Marmota monax (woodchuck). Lineage: Eukaryota; Metazoa; Chordata; Mammalia; Rodentia; Sciuridae. The record is from RNAcentral.